Molecule: long non-coding RNA, 4017 nt
Organism: Amphiprion ocellaris (clown anemonefish)
Lineage: Eukaryota; Metazoa; Chordata; Actinopteri; Pomacentridae
Source: Ensembl
AGCCAGAGAGCAGUGAUUGGUCAGACCAUAGAUAUCGAUAGAAGACAGCGCGCUAGCGGAUCUAGUCUGCUAUGUGUAUCUAUGGCCAGCACGUCUGGUAGCAUCUCUGGCUGCUGUUGACCUGGUUUUUGGAGUAAAACACAGUGGAAGCUGAAUUAGUGAGGAUGACUCCUGCUCCUGUCAUCUCUAAGCUCCUCACACAUCUUUACCUGCACAUGAGGAAAAUCACUCCUGUAGAAUGCAGAUGUUCAGAGGGAGAUGAUGCCACAUCUGGUCCAGCUGAUGGAAGGUCUUGAAGUUCUCUGACUGGCCUCGACUGAAGAUGGUCGUCUCACUGGAUUUAAGGUUCAGAUGCUCAGUAACAAACUCCACCAAUGAGCCAACAGGGAAGCUUUAGGUUUAUUGAAUGUUGCUAUGAAGGUUUCACAGUUUUUCUUUGUGAAUGCAAUGUGCUCCAACUGAAACUUGAAUUAGAACUUAGAAGUAAAUCCUUCCAUCUGAAAGGAUUUAGUUGCAUUAAUAACCCCAUAACAUUCUAAUUUUUAUUCCAGUCUUGGUUGGAAAUAGAAUCUCUGUAUUGAUUCAGGUAAAAACUGAACUUCACAGCAUGUUGGAGCAAAACAACCAGAUGAAAACUGUGAUGGUGUUGGAUUGUCAGACUGUAAUGUUGCAGCUCAAAGCAGCUUUUCUGUCUCAGUUCAUUCUGACAUUCAGCUAUGAAUCAACACAGCAGAUGGUGAUCCAUGCUGUGGAAGUCUCACAUCUCCUGAUUUAAUGGAGCUGCUUUGCACUUUUUACACUGUUUAUUCACCAACACUUUAUUUUAUAAAAGUUCCAUCUAGUUUUUAUGAGGAAUGUGAUGUUUUAAUUUCUCUGUGAAUAACUGCAGUCUAAUGGAAGAGCUGGAACUGUAACAUCUGUCCUGAUAUUGAUCAUGAAGUAUUGAUCAGAAUACUUAUGGUCAGCAGUCAUCCCUGAAGUUUUACAUUAAAAUCUUUACUUGUGUUGUGAACUUUGGUAAGAAGCAGAAACUUUAGCGUUGCCAUGGAUACAUGAGUGUUAAAUUCUGUCCAUGUUUCCAUUUUGGGAAAUGCAGUCCAGCAGAUGAGUUUGUUUUUACUGCCAGCUACAUUCAGUCUGAGAUAUUAAGAAUAAAUAAAUGUGCAUAAUGUGGAAAUGAACAGAUUCUAUUUUUAUUUAUUCCUACAGCUGCUGCACGUAAAGUUCCAGAAUGUGGAGGAAUUUAGUCUCACAAUCACAGACAAUAAAUAUUAUCUGAAAGUUGGGUUAUUGUUGUUUAUCAGCACAAUACAAAAAGAUUCAUGUUAGACAUAUUCCAGUUAAGACUCUAGAAUAUCAUGAUUUAUGUAAAUUUACCUGAAUAAUAUGAAUGUUCAGGUUAAGAUUGUGCAGUGAUAUUUAUUAUGUAAGUUUAGCUGAUUAAAGUUUGACUCUGUACUACAAUAUUGUUAUUAUUAUUAUUAUAAUUUACAUCAUUAUUAUAAUAUUUAGGGUCAGACCCUACAGUAUUGAGAUUAAGAAAUCAAACAUUCUAUAAAAUGUAAAUACACUGAACUCAUUUGGAUAUAUUUAAGUGAGACUCUACAAUAUUAUUUGACACAAAUCUAUCUAAAUCCAAAUUUUAAUCAUUUUUACUCCAAACAUUUACUGGACUGAUUUAAAUAUUAAAAUCACUCCUUUCUAAUCCUCUGCUGUCUGUUCAAACCUGAGGCCUUAAAUAGAAACACACAAGUAUCUGAUUGAAGGAACUUCUGCAGAGUCCUGGUUCCACAACAUGAUGAUAGAAUUAUAGACAAACUUUAACAAAAGCUGCCUGAGAGUUUACAGGUUUUUAUGUUAGAUUUCUUCAGUAAUUUAAUAAGAGUUAUCAGCAAAAAUCAAGUGUUCAUUUGAUGAACUUCAUUUCCUAAAACAUCCAGAAUUGGAGCUCAUAUCUUUGGCAGCUGUAAAGUUUCUGCUCCUUCAAAGUUCACAACACACUGAAUGAAUUCCUAAAACAUUCUCAAUGCUGGAGAGCGUUUGUGAUGCUGAAGCAGUGAUCAGUUUUUCUGUUUCUUCUCUGGAGAUGCACAAUGAGGGACGUCUGCAGAGACUGAGAAAGAGUCUCACCACAUCCUGACAUGAGGAAAAAGACUUUAUUGAAGACUACAAUGAGAAAAACUAUCAGACAGCAGACGGCUGCAUUCAAGUCUGUAGCUGCUGAAUUCAUGGAUGAAUCAUCUGGCACUAGAGAGGAAGACCAUCAAACAUCCAUGUCAGCUGAUGGAGGUCCAAGAGUCUCACCCAACAAACAACCUACAGAGUGAAGACCUCCAAUCUGAUUGGACGGCCUCCUAUUCAGCCACAUUUUAGGCUGUUAGAUUGUUCCAGAUAAGACGAGUACAAGAUUCUUCAGAGCCGUUCUACCACGAGCCUGACAGGAAGAACUCCAACAGCUACUGAAUGUUCCUGUGGUCCCCUCAAGGCUACAGGAGGAGUCCUACGAGGACGAGCCGGUCCACCUGAUGGCGGCCAGUCGCUGCGGUUCAAAGCCAACACCGACUACGUGGACUUCUACUGGACCACACGGAGGCCUUCAAACCGGACCAACAAGUUCAGCGACUCCCCGACUCGUGGGUCUGAGGACGCCGCCGAGCCUCGGUCCAGCCGGCCUCCUGUCUGUGGGUGUUUGAGUGCUGAGAGGUUUGUGGAUGCAUGUGAACGUUCUGUGUUGAAACAGCAGCUUUGGACUGAGUAACGCCAGGAAAAACCAAGAGCUCCUUUAUUUGUGACUUCCACUAAAAAAACUGAUGAAAAUAAGUUUGCCAGGGUUCUGACUGAUAACAGAUUAUUAGAUAAUGAAAAUAAUUGUUUAAAUAUUCCUUUAAACAAUCCUUUUAGGUCUACAUUUCCUUUACACUGAAUUCUUGGUAUAUGUACAAGUAUUUUGGGUGGAAUAUACCAUUAAGCCCAAUGUUCGAGGGUUCUGGGAAUAUACCAUUACACCAACCUUUUAGGUAAAUGUUCCAAAAUGUUGGGUAGAAGAUACUAUCAGAUCAACCUUUUAGGUCUACAUUGGAAGAUUUUAGAGUAGAAUAUUACUCCAAACUAUCCUUUAGGUCUACAUUUAAGGUGGAAUACUCCUUUACACCAAGAUUUUUUUGGUCCACAUUGAAGGACUUUAGGUGGAAUAUUCCUUUGAACGAACUUUUUAAGUUUAUGUUCAAGGAUGUUGGGUGGAAUAUACCAUCAGACCAACUUCCAAGGUCUACAGUAGUGAAUUUUAGGUGGAAUAUACCAUUAAACUCACCUUUUAGGUCGACAGUGGAGGAUUUUAGGUGGAAUUUUCUUCCAAACCAUCUUUUAGUCUACAUUUAAGGAUAUUUAGGAUGGUAUGUUCUUCCAAACCAACUUCUCAGGUCUACAUUUCAGGUGGAAUAUUCCUCCAUACUAACUUUUUUGGUCGACAUUGAAGGAUUUUUUCUAAACCACCCUAUGGGGUCUAUAUUUGAGGUUUUAGGUGGAAUAUUCCUUUUAACCAGCCCCUCAGGUCUCUUUGAGGAUUUUGGAUGGAAUACUCGGUUAAACCAACAUUUUAGGUGCAUGUCUAAGGAUUUUUGCUGGAAUGUUCCUUUAAGGUGGAUGUGUGAGGACCUUGUAGGUGGAAUACUUCCUGAAACCAACCUUUUAGGUCAACAUUCAAAGAUUUAAGGUGGAAUAUUCCUUUAAACCAACCUGAAUUUCAUGUUAUGAUCAUUAUCAAGUGAGAAACCUCAAUCCAGACUCCUCAUAAUGACGUUUGAGAUUUAUGCUGCUGUUAUUUACUUAGUCCAGACUAAAUGACAGAAAUCCACAACUGUAAUUUUAUUUCAGGACUCGGUUAUUAAAUGUCAAAACAAUCCAUGUGAUUCUAAAAACUCAACAGCUUUACAAACUCUAAGAUUAAACUCUCCACAAGGAUCCAAAAUAAGUUUGACUGCUACAUGAGGGCCUUAAUUAUUCUUCAUCUACUUCCUG